Panthera uncia (snow leopard) is the source of this 981-nucleotide long non-coding RNA. RefSeq lists it as uncharacterized. NCBI's taxonomy places the organism in Eukaryota, Metazoa, Chordata, Mammalia, Carnivora, Felidae. The record is from RefSeq and is a predicted model, not a curated record. The transcript is spliced from 5 exons.
UUAUUUAAAUUUUAUUUUUAAAGAUUAUCUUUUACUACUACAAAAUCAGAGCCUGUCCAUUGUCAUACAUCAGAAAAUAAGGACAAGCAAAAAUCACAGAACAAAAGUAUUCCCACCCCUCAGUAAGUACGAGCGCUAAGUUCUGGAGGCUACGAGUUCAAGAUCAAGGUGUCCACGGGGCUGGUUUCAUCUGAAACCCUUUCUUUGGCUUACAGAUGGCUGGCUGUCUUCUCUCUGUGUCUUCAUACCAUCUUCCCUCUGUGUAUCUGUGUCCUACUCUCUUCUUUCAGAUUGUCACCACCUACUUUAUAGCAGAGAUUCAACUUUAUUAAAGGAUUCACUCAACUUAUUAGCCUGUUUGAGAAGAGCUCCCCACACUGUGUGCCUUGGCAUAUUGAGUACCAGGAAUGAGUUGCAAGUAUGUGGAGGCACAGAUUCUACUCAGCCCUCAAGAUGGUCAAGCUAGGCUUGGGGAAACAAACUACUUGAGCUGGCCAUGUCCUGCAAUGAAAUGCCUCAAUCCUUCAUCCCAGCAUGUCUUAAAGAAUUAGAACAAAUAAUCCUAAAAACUGUAUGGAACCACAGAAGAGCCCAAUGAGCCAAAGCAACUUUGAAUAAGAAAAGCAAAGCUGGAGGCCUCACAAUUCCAGAUUUCAAGUUACAUUACAAAGCUGUAGUGAUCAAGACAAUAUGGCAUUAACACAAAAAUAGACACAUUGAUCAAUGGAUCAGAAUAAAAAAUCCAGAAAUGAACUCAUAAUUAUAUGGUCAAUUAAUCUUUGAAGAAAGUAGGAAAGAAUAUCCAAUGAGAAAAAGAAUGUCUCUUCAACAAAUGGUGUUCGGAAAACUGGAUAGCAAUAUGCAAAAGAAUAAAGCUGGACCACUUUCUUAUACCAAACACAAAAAUAAAUCCAAAAUGGAUCAAACACCUAAAUGUAAGACCUGAAACCAUUAAAAUCCCAGAGACAGUGACCUCUUUAA